GACGAACGCUGGCGGCGUGCUUAACACAUGCAAGUCGAACGGUAAGGCUCCAGCUUGCUGGGGUACACGAGUGGCGAACGGGUGAGUAACACGUGGGUGACCUGCCCUGCACUUCGGGAUAAGCCUGGGAAACUGGGUCUAAUACCGGAUAGGACCAUGGUGUGGAUACUGUGGUGGAAAGGUUUUUCGGUGUGGGAUGGGCCCGCGGCCUAUCAGCUUGUUGGUGGGGUAAUGGCCUACCAAGGCGGCGACGGGUAGCCGGCCUGAGAGGGUGGACGGCCACAUUGGGACUGAGACACGGCCCAGACUCCUACGGGAGGCAGCAGUGGGGAAUAUUGCACAAUGGGCGGAAGCCUGAUGCAGCGACGCCGCGUGGGGGAUGACGGCCUUCGGGUUGUAAACUCCUUUCACCAUCGACGAAGGGUUUCUGACGGUAGAUGGAGAAGAAGCACCGGCUAACUACGUG
Molecule: ribosomal RNA, 466 nt
Filed under: uncultured bacterium
Lineage: Bacteria
Description: partial 16S ribosomal RNA
Rfam family: Bacterial small subunit ribosomal RNA
Source: RNAcentral